GCCGACGUGGCUCAGUGGUAGAGCGAGUACUUGGUAAGUACUAGGUCAUGGGUUCAAUUCCCAUCGUCGGCUCAA
Molecule: transfer RNA, 75 nt
Filed under: Candidatus Gottesmanbacteria bacterium RIFCSPHIGHO2_02_FULL_40_13
Lineage: Bacteria; Candidatus Gottesmaniibacteriota
Description: tRNA-Thr
Rfam family: tRNA
About the family: Transfer RNA (tRNA) molecules are approximately 80 nucleotides in length. Their secondary structure includes four short double-helical elements and three loops (D, anti-codon, and T loops).
Source: RNAcentral